RNAcentral lists this ribosomal RNA (498 nucleotides) under uncultured bacterium. Its description in RNAcentral is "partial 16S ribosomal RNA". It matches the Rfam family "Bacterial small subunit ribosomal RNA", at positions 30 to 523 of the family's 1533-position model. The record is from RNAcentral.
AUUGAACGCUGGCGGCAUGCCUUACACAUGCAAGUCGAACGGUAACAGGUCUUCGGAUGCUGACGAGUGGCGAACGGGUGAGUAAUACAUCGGAACGUGCCCGAGAGUGGGGGAUAACGAGGCGAAAGCUUUGCUAAUACCGCAUACGAUCUCAGGAUGAAAGCAGGGGACCGCAAGGCCUUGCGCUCACGGAGCGGCCGAUGGCAGAUUAGGUAGUUGGUGGGAUAAAAGCUUACCAAGCCGACGAUCUGUAGCUGGUCUGAGAGGACGAUCAGCCACACUGGGACUGAGACACGGCCCAGACUCCUACGGGAGGCAGCAGUGGGGAAGUUUGGACAAUGGGCGCAAGCCUGAUCCAGCCAUGCCGCGUGCAGGAUGAAGGCCUUCGGGUUGUAAACUGCUUUUGUACGGAACGAAAAGACUCUGGUUAAUACCUGGGGUCCAUGACGGUACCGUAAGAAUAAGCACCGGCUAACUACGUGCCAGCCGCCGCCGUAA